GAAAAUGUUUACGUGUGGUGUGCCGUAGGAUGUCUCGAGUGCAGUAGAUUAUUAGAGCACCCAUUUGGAUAAGACAAAGUCAGCUAUGUUACUAUGACUGAUUAUGAGAGGGCUUUCUUAUCUGGCUGAGAGGUUGGCUUCGUGUCUUACAUCCUCAAAAAGAGCCACAAACACAAGGUGACAUGCUAACAGACAGCAAGUUUGGUCAGUCUCAAGGGCAACUCUACCAAGUCACCCUUCCUCAUUCAGUGUGGUUCCUAUAUAAGUUGCACUUUUUAAAACUCCAUUAGGAAUUGAAACACUUAUUAUAAAUCCACAUUUCCAGUAUUUUUUAUAUACUGACAGCAAUGAUGAAUUGCCUGUAAACUCUAUAAAGGAGAUGGGGAAUUCUGAUAACCUUUUCAGUAAAUAAAGCACAAUACAAAACUGAGUGGUCAAUAAUAAACAAAUGAUGUUUA
Labeo rohita (rohu) is the source of this 458-nucleotide long non-coding RNA. RefSeq lists it as uncharacterized. Lineage: Eukaryota; Metazoa; Chordata; Actinopteri; Cypriniformes; Cyprinidae. The transcript is spliced from 3 exons. The record is from RefSeq and is a predicted model, not a curated record.